GUGGGGAAUAUUCCGCAAUGGACGAAAGUCUGACGGAGCAACGCCGCGUGAGUGAUGAAGGUUUUCGGACUGUAAAGCUCUGUUGUUUAGGACGAAAGUGCCUGUUGCAAAUAGUUACAGGUAUUGACGGUACUGAACGAGGAAGCCACGGCUAACUACGUGCCAGCAGCCGCGGUAAUACGUAGGUGGCAAGCGUUGUCCGGAAUUAUUGGGCGUAAAGAGCAUGUAGGCGGGAAUCUAAGGCUGUUGUGAAAAUGCGGGGCUCAACCCCGUAUUGCGAUGGAGACUGGGUUUCUUGAGUGUCGGAGAGGAAAGUGGAAUUCCAAGUGUAGCGGUGAAAUGCGUAGAGAUUUGGAAGAACACCAGUGGCGAAGGCGACUUUCUGGACGAUGUCUGACGCUGAGGCGCGAAAGCUAGGGGAGCGAACGGGAUUAGAUACCCGAGUAGUCC
This 450-nucleotide ribosomal RNA is filed under the name uncultured bacterium. RNAcentral describes it as "partial 16S ribosomal RNA". It matches the Rfam family "Bacterial small subunit ribosomal RNA", at positions 354 to 796 of the family's 1533-position model. The record is from RNAcentral.